RNAcentral lists this ribosomal RNA (465 nucleotides) under Vreelandella stevensii. RNAcentral describes it as "partial 16S ribosomal RNA". It matches the Rfam family "Bacterial small subunit ribosomal RNA", at positions 338 to 795 of the family's 1533-position model. The record is from RNAcentral. Lineage: Bacteria; Pseudomonadati; Pseudomonadota; Gammaproteobacteria; Oceanospirillales; Halomonadaceae.
CCUACGGGUGGCUGCAGUGGGGAAUAUUGGACAAUGGGGGGAACCCUGAUCCAGCCAUGCCGCGUGUGUGAAGAAGGCCCUCGGGUUGUAAAGCACUUUCAGUGAGGAAGAACGCCUGGUGGUUAAUACCCAUCAGGAAAGACAUCACUCACAGAAGAAGCACCGGCUAACUCCGUGCCAGCAGCCGCGGUAAUACGGAGGGUGCGAGCGUUAAUCGGAAUUACUGGGCGUAAAGCGCGCGUAGGUGGCGUGAUAAGCCGGUUGUGAAAGCCCCGGGCUCAACCUGGGAACGGCAUCCGGAACUGUCAAGCUAGAGUGCAGGAGAGGAAGGUAGAAUUCCCGGUGUAGCGGUGAAAUGCGUAGAGAUCGGGAGGAAUACCAGUGGCGAAGGCGGCCUUCUGGACUGACACUGACACUGAGGUGCGAAAGCGUGGGUAGCAAACAGGAUUAGAUACCCCUGUAGUC